GAUGAACGCUGGCGGCGUGCCUAACACAUGCAAGUCGAACGGACUUUUGAUGAAACCUAGUGAUUUAAAAGUUAGUGGCGGACGGGUGAGUAACGCGUGGGUAACCUGCCCUGUACACACGGAUAACAUACCGAAAUCUGUGCUAAUACCGCAUAAUGUUAUUUUAUUGCAUGAUAGAAUAACCAAAGGAGCAAUCCACUCAAAGAUGGACCUGCGUCUGAUUAGCUAGUUGGUGUGGUAACGGCCCACCAAGGCGACGAUCAGUAGCCGACCUGAGAGGGUGAUCGGCCACAUUGGGACUGAGACACGGCCCAAACUCCUACGGGAGGCAGCAGUGGGGAAUAUUGCACAAUGGGGGAAACCCUGAUGCAGCAACGCCGCGUGAGUGAUGAAGUAUUUCGGUAUGUAAAACUCUAUCAGCAGGGAAGAAAUUGACAGUACCUGACUAAGAAGCCCCGGCUAACUACGUG
Molecule: ribosomal RNA, 470 nt
Filed under: uncultured bacterium
Lineage: Bacteria
Description: bacterial SSU rRNA
Rfam family: Bacterial small subunit ribosomal RNA
Source: RNAcentral